This 195-nucleotide microRNA precursor is filed under the name Hordeum vulgare subsp. vulgare (domesticated barley). RNAcentral's name for it is "MIR1435 microRNA precursor family". It matches the Rfam family "MIR1435 microRNA precursor family". Lineage: Eukaryota; Viridiplantae; Streptophyta; Magnoliopsida; Poales; Poaceae. The record is from Rfam by way of RNAcentral.
UAGGUUUAUUCUAAGUCAAACUUCUUUAGUUUGACCAUGUAUAUAGAAAAAUAUAUUAACAUCUACAAUGUUGAAAAUAUUAUGAAAAUAUAUUUUAUGCUUAAUCUAAUGAAGCUGAUUUGGUGUUGUAGAUGUUGGUAUAUUUUUCAGUAGAAUUGGUCAAACUUAAAGAUGUUUGACUUAGGACAAACCUAG